AAUAGAUACCCUGGUAGUCCACGCCGUAAACGAUGAGUGCUAAGUGUUAGAGGGUUUCCGCCCUUUAGUGCUGCAGCUAACGCAUUAAGCACUCCGCCUGGGGAGUACGGUCGCAAGACUGAAACUCAAAGGAAUUGACGGGGGCCCGCACAAGCGGUGGAGCAUGUGGUUUAAUUCGAAGCAACGCGAAGAACCUUACCAGGUCUUGACAUCCCACUGACCGGUAUAGAGAUAUACCUUUCCCUUCGGGGACAGUGGUGACAGGUGGUGCAUGGUUGUCGUCAGCUCGUGUCGUGAGAUGUUGGGUUAAGUCCCGCAACGAGCGCAACCCUUGAUCUUAGUUGCCAGCAUUUAGUUGGGCACUCUAAGGUGACUGCCGGUGACAAACCGGAGGAAGGUGGGGAUGACGUCAAAUCAUCAUGCCCCUUAUGACCUGGGCUACACACGUGCUACAAUGGAUGGUACAAAGGGCUGCAAGACUGCGAAGUCAAGCCAAUCCCAUAAAACCAUUCUUAGUUCGGAUUGCAGG
RNAcentral lists this ribosomal RNA (529 nucleotides) under uncultured bacterium. RNAcentral describes it as "bacterial SSU rRNA". It matches the Rfam family "Bacterial small subunit ribosomal RNA", at positions 777 to 1304 of the family's 1533-position model. The record is from RNAcentral.